UACAGAGGUCUCAAGCGUUGUCCGGAUUUACUGGGCGUAAAGGGCGUGCAGGCGGUCUGUUAAGUUCAGGGUGAAAGCUCCCGGCUCAACUGGGAGAGGUCCUUGGAUACUGGCAGACUUGAGGGAGGUAGAGGAGAGUGGAAUUCCCGGUGUAGUGGUGAUAUGCGUAGAUAUCGGGAGGAACACCAGUGGCGAAGGCGGCUCUCUGGGCCUUUCCUGACGCUGAGACGCGAAAGCGUGGGUAGCAAACAGG
RNAcentral lists this ribosomal RNA (253 nucleotides) under uncultured bacterium. RNAcentral's name for it is "partial 16S ribosomal RNA". It matches the Rfam family "Bacterial small subunit ribosomal RNA", at positions 524 to 776 of the family's 1533-position model. The record is from RNAcentral.